GCAGCAUAAAUGGUGCGCUGCCACUUUAAGGCCAAUUUCAGCUGCUGCAUAUAAGCAAGCCUUCACCUGUCAUGAGGCUGCUUGCGUCGUGACGUCAACCGAAUCUGCUUCCUUUGUUUGCACUGUUCUGGCCUCCUUUGCUGCACCUCCAAUAUUUGGACCGAUCUGUCCGUUUAUUCAUUUGCUGACAGGAAGUUGCACUGCAUCUAGGUGGAAUUGGGAAUCUGAUUAUUUGGCAGUGCAGUCAUUUAUCAGGUCACAGCCUUCUGACUCAUCAGCAUUGCACCUGGAGUGACACUCGCUGCUGUUUUGCCUACUUAUAAAUUGUUUUAAAAUACUAAUCUGCACUUUCCUUGGAGAUAAAGUGCAACAUUGUAGGGCUAUUGUAUCUCUGUUUUACUUGUAUUGUUUCGGGGUU
Poecilia latipinna (sailfin molly) is the source of this 418-nucleotide long non-coding RNA. RefSeq lists it as uncharacterized. The transcript is spliced from 4 exons. The record is from RefSeq and is a predicted model, not a curated record. NCBI's taxonomy places the organism in Eukaryota, Metazoa, Chordata, Actinopteri, Cyprinodontiformes, Poeciliidae.